GACAAUGACAUCCACAACGUGAACGAAUACAUCAAUUAAAAAAUGAGUAAUAAUGGGAAAAUAAACAAUCACAGAUGUGGUAUGUUGC
This 88-nucleotide non-coding RNA is filed under the name Thalassiosira punctigera. Lineage: Eukaryota; Bacillariophyta; Thalassiosirophyceae; Thalassiosirales; Thalassiosiraceae. The record is from RNAcentral.